RNAcentral lists this ribosomal RNA (505 nucleotides) under uncultured bacterium. RNAcentral's name for it is "bacterial SSU rRNA". It matches the Rfam family "Bacterial small subunit ribosomal RNA", at positions 32 to 524 of the family's 1533-position model. The record is from RNAcentral.
AAUCAACGCUGGCGGCGUGCCUCAGACAUGCAAGUCGAACGAUUAAAGCUCUCUUCGGAGAGUGCAUAGAGUGGCGCACGGGUGAGUAACACGUAAGUAAUCUACCUUCGAGUGGGGAAUAACGUCCGGAAACGGACGCUAAUACCGCAUAAUGCAGCGGCAUCGUAAGAUGACAGUUGUUAAAGAUUUAUCGCUUGAAGAGGAGCUUGCGGCAGAUUAGCUAGUUGGUAAGGUAAUGGCUUACCAAGGCUACGAUCUGUAACCGGUCUUAGAGGACGGUCGGUCACACUGACACUGAAUAACGGGUCAGACUCCUACGGAGGCAGCAGUCGGGAAUUUUGGGCAAUGGGCGAAAGCCUGACCCAGCAACGCCGCGUGAAGGAUGAAGUAUUUCGGUAUGUAAAGCACUUUAAGUUGGGAAGAAAAAGCUUCACCUAAUACGUGGAGCCUUGACGGUACCGACAGAAUAAGCACCGGCUAACUCUGUGCCAGCAGCCGCGGUAAU